AUACAGAGGGUGCGAGCGUUAAUCGGAAUUACUGGGCGUAAAGCGCGCGUAGGCGGCUUUUUAAGUCAGAUGUGAAAUCCCCGGGCUCAACCUGGGAACUGCAUCUGAUACUGGUAAGCUAGAGUUUUGGAGAGGGAAGUAGAAUUUCAGGUGUAGCGGUGAAAUGCAUAGAGAUCUGAAGGAAUACCAGUGGCGAAGGCGACUUCCUGGCCAAAAACUGACGCUGAGGUGCGAAAGCGUGGGUAGCAAACGGGAUUAGAUACCCUAGUAGUCC
RNAcentral lists this ribosomal RNA (274 nucleotides) under uncultured bacterium. Its description in RNAcentral is "partial 16S ribosomal RNA". It matches the Rfam family "Bacterial small subunit ribosomal RNA", at positions 523 to 796 of the family's 1533-position model. The record is from RNAcentral.